This 253-nucleotide ribosomal RNA is filed under the name uncultured bacterium. RNAcentral describes it as "partial 16S ribosomal RNA". It matches the Rfam family "Bacterial small subunit ribosomal RNA", at positions 524 to 776 of the family's 1533-position model. The record is from RNAcentral.
UACAGGGGGGGCAAGCGUUGUUCGGAAUUACUGGGCGUAAAGGGCUCGUAGGUGGCCAACUAAGUCGGACGUGAAAUCCCUCAGCUUAACUGGGGAACUGCAUCCGAUACUGGAUGGCUGGAGUUUGGGAGAGGGAUGCGGAAUUCCAGGUGUAGCGGUGAAAUGCGUAGAUAUCUGGAGGAACACCGGUGGCGAAGGCGGCAUUCUGGACCGACAUUGACGCUGAGGAGCGAAAGCCAGGGGAGCAAACGGG